Helianthus annuus (common sunflower) is the source of this 2557-nucleotide long non-coding RNA. RefSeq lists it as uncharacterized. The transcript has 2 exons. Lineage: Eukaryota; Viridiplantae; Streptophyta; Magnoliopsida; Asterales; Asteraceae. The record is from RefSeq and is a predicted model, not a curated record.
GUAUAUUUUUUGUCUUCUUCUUUUUUCCUUUUUUUUGGCAUUAGGAUUUUUCAUUUUGUAACAAUACUUUAGUUUUUAUAAUUUGUGUCACAAAGGUUAAAUAAUUUUAGUUUUUUUAUUAGUUUUUGUUUUACGUUUUUCUUGGAAUUGUUCAUCGUUCAUUACUAUUUAGCACAAUGUUUGAUAGUCACAUUUGGCCCUUUAGGGUUUUUUUCAUUCGUAUUUGGUGGUCACAUUUGGUCUUUUAAGGUUUUUACCCCCUCCACUUUCUGAUACGCAUCGUUGUAAAUUCGACUUCUUCUACGUUUUACGUCAUGUAAGUCACUUUGUGUUGGAAAUUCGUGUUUUUUUAUGCUUUACCCAGUUUUUGUUUUCGUUUGAUGCUACUUUGCAUAGUUUUACGUCCCAUCUCCUCAACGUUGGUAGCACGUUUUUAUGCCCACUGACCCGCAACGCGGGUAGCUUAAGACUAGUAUGUUAAUCAAAUGACUGUUUUGAAUAUAAGAAAAUGUUAUUUUCGUUGCAUAAGAUUUUGCUACCCGAGUUAGAAUAGCCUAAAGUGGUAAAAGGAGAAAUAUUUGAAAUCUAGUGUUCGAAAUAGCACUUUAAGAUAUAUUCUCGGAACCAUAUUAUUAUUUACUCUUUGAUAUAACUUAAUUUGGAAAAGAGUAUAAUGGUUGUGUGUGGACUCCUGUACAACCACAGCUAGAUUCAUUAUAUUCUGUCUUAUAAGAUCAAAAUCAAUUAUGCCACAUAUUAGUUUUUUCUAUUAAUUAAAUUUAUUCUGAUAUUUUGGAUACAGUUAUAGCUAGAUUCAUUCUACUCCUAUCUUUAUUGAAAAAUCUGUAGGAAAGUAACUCCCAUCUACAGGCUGUUUAUAGAUGCCAUAGUUGUCAAUAGCGGUAGCUAUAGUGAGCAGUGUAGCGUAUAGGUCGAAGGUCGCUACAGGGUAUGUAGCAAAAAAUAGCGGGAUUUCAGGUUUUUUUAACUACGAAUAGCGAUUAAAUAUAGCUAUAAAGUAGCUGGAUUUUAGGAAUUUGUUAAAUAUACAUGUAAAAAGAGUAAAUUACGAUUUUGACCCCUGUGGUUAUAUCACGUUUACCCCUUUAGCCCAAAAAGGAAUCUUUUAACAUCUGAGCCCCAACGUCUUUGUUGCUAACCCUUUUGAAUUUUAGGAAUUUGUUAAAUAUACAUGUAAAAAUCUAAGCAGUUAAAGCGGUAAAAUAGCGGAUAGCGGUCAAGGUCCGCUAUACGAUAUAUAGGUUAUUGCGGUGGUAUAGCGGUGAUAUAGCGGUAAUUUUUAUACCAUGCAUAAUUUAUGUAUUUUUAUAUUAUUAUAUACAUAUACCAUUAAUUUUAUAUUGUUUAGAUAUAAAUUCACAAGUAUGAGGACUAAAUAUAAACUAAUGAAGAUGGAGGGGGGUUAUAUGUUAAAAUACCCAAACUUAAAUAACCCUAAUUAUCCCCACUUUCAUCAUACGCCGUUUUCUUUCCCGCUCCCCUUCUCUUCUCCAUCAGUUAUCUCUACAAUAGUUCAAAAUCAUGGAGCAACAGCUGAUUUUUGUUCGAAUUAAGAGCUUUAACGUUCUUUUCUCUUGAUAAGCAAACCAACCGUGAAGUUGAAAUGCCCAAUCCCUGCAUCUAAGAGAACUCAUCUCUCUGAGACUCCUUUCCCCUGCACUGUCUUCUAGUAUAUAUAUUUCUUUCGCAAUCGAAAGACGUACUUAGUUAGUGCUUACAACUACUUCUCCCGAAGAAUCUAUUCUAUCACUUGGAGUCACUAAUGGAUUCUCCACUGCGCCCCUAGUACAUCAAGCAGUUUGGGAAUGUUGGGAGGUCGAAGAGCGGGGAUAUCAGUUCAUGCUGUAUUAUCAGAAUAUGGGUUUGUGGAGAUCGAUCCCGUUUCAAUGUCAUUACACUUUCAUGUCAAAGGGAAUUGGUAUCUCUCUUCUCAUUUUACUACACAAUUUAUAACAUCACUAGCAGUGAUAACACUGUAAUUAUCAAGAUUAAAUUUCAAAACCUGGGAGAGUAUUGCAAGGUUUAUGGGUCUUUGGUUAAUGGAAGGAACCAGAAUGCACUCAGGACGAAGAUAAACUGGUGCCGGUCUUGAACAUGAUGUGGGACUGUGGGCUACCCAAAAAUGAAGCUUUGGAGAAAAAUGAAAGAUGGUCUUGCAUUGCGCCUGCUUAUUGAUGCGGCUACCGACUGAACUGAAACUCAAGAUCUUGGAGUCGGUUUCUUGUGUUUGCUCAGAGUUGAGAUUCUUGGCCUCGAGCGAUGAUCUGGGGAAACAGAUGCACAUCAAGCAGUUUGGGAAUGUUUGCUCAAGCUUGGUGAAGUUGGGGAUUGUUUCAGUUAUUUAUUUUAAAUAUUUGGAUGAUUGUUAAAUUGUAUUUAAAUAUUUGGGUUUAUAUCUAUCAUUUGUUAUGUAUUAGUCCAAGAGAAGAUGAUCUGUGUUUGACACAUGCCCAAGGUUAGGAUGUUAAACUAAUGUGCUCGAAAGCGUGUGUUUGUACUUUAUAUUUACAACCAAUAGUGUUAUCUUGUGUUGACC